GGGGAGGUGGUCACCAGUCCAAAGGCCGCCUAGGCUGGAAGCCCCAGACUGGGCUCUGAGCUUGGAGGCUGGUCGUCCUUCGCUCCUGUUGCUCCAAGGAGAGCCUGUCUCAAAGCAAGUGACUUGUCAGCUUGACCACGGAAAGGACUGUAAACCGCCCCUCAGUCCUUCACCCGCUUGAUUCUGGGAUGUCAGGAACCAAGAGAUCCAGAAAACGGCCAAUGGAGAACACCACAUGCUGGGGAUAGAAGCCCCGCCCCCAGCCCUCGUAAAACAGAAGCCCAGACUAGCCUUCAGGGGACCAGCUCACCUGCAAGUGCGGUUGUGUGCGGAGGUGAAGGUGGGCGGUGCUCG
Mastomys coucha (southern multimammate mouse) is the source of this 354-nucleotide long non-coding RNA. RefSeq lists it as uncharacterized. Lineage: Eukaryota; Metazoa; Chordata; Mammalia; Rodentia; Muridae. The record is from RefSeq and is a predicted model, not a curated record. The transcript is spliced from 3 exons.